Long non-coding RNA from Orcinus orca (killer whale), 4385 nucleotides. RefSeq lists it as uncharacterized. The transcript is spliced from 3 exons. The record is from RefSeq and is a predicted model, not a curated record. Lineage: Eukaryota; Metazoa; Chordata; Mammalia; Artiodactyla; Delphinidae.
CUAGUACGGUGCCCAAUGCCUGACGCUGAGGAUCACACUUAGGUCACUUAUUAAAUGAUUGCUGAGCUGAAUUAGAUCAUUACUGUAUGUACCCCACUUACUAUCAGGAAAGACAUACGAGAAAAAAGUAUUUUUGCAUAUUCUGGAUUUACUACAUCAGAGGCCUAAUCGGGAGGUCUCAAGUCUCAGGAUGGGUUAGAGUUUGAUCCUAGCCAUUGGCUUGGCAGGCUGGGCUGAGUGGGGUCACAGAGAAUGACAUGAGGGGCCUUCUAGGGAAAGGGAGCCCCAGGGUGUGAGUGAGCAGUGCUGCUGGGCAGGCUGAGUCAGCAUCCUGGACUGUCCAUGGCCUCAGGCCUGAGGAUGCCAUCUUUGGGUGAACGCCUGCUGCUUCCAUAAGCAGAAGGGACACCAUGCACUGAGUCUGUACCUCUGCUGGCAGGUCCUAACAGCUGUUAGUCGGCUCGGGCUGCUAUAACAAAAUACCAUAACUGGGUGGCUUAUAAACAGUUCUAGAGGCUGGAAGUCUGAGAUCAGGGUGCCAGCAUGGUCAGGUCCUGGGGAGGACCCUCUCCCAGGUUGCAGACAGCUGUUUUCUCACUGUGUCCUCACAUGGGGCAGGAGGAGGUGGAGCAGAGCGAGCCCUCUGGGAUCCUUUUAUAAGGGCACUAAUCCCACUUCUGAACACCCCACCCUCAUAACCUAAUCACCUCUCAAAGGCCCCCAACUCCAAAUAGCAUCACAUUGGCGGGGGGGCAUUAGGAUUUCAAUAUAUGAAUUUGGGGGACACAAACAUUCCGUCCAUAACAAGCCCUACUGUGUAAGUACCAUGAUGAUACCAAUCUACGAGAGGAGAGAAUAGUCAGCUCUUGUGUCUUUCUCCACUGUGCUGGGCACUAUACCAAGCAUUCUUAACUGGUUCGGCCCUCAUAAUGAUUCCAUGUGAUGGGUGCCAUCGUUAUUCCCAUUUUACAGAUUAGGAAACUGAGGUCUAGAAAGGUAAAGUUACUGCCAGUAAUUGGGCCUGAACAAAGGCAGGGGGGCUCCAGGGUCUCUGUUCUUACCCACUGCGCUCUACUGCCUCUAGAUGGAAUAAUGAUUGUAAGAGCAAUAAGACCACCUCACAUUUGGAUAAGACCUUUCUGUUCAUACUCAUUUGCAUCCUCUUUUCUCUUGUUAUCCUCACAGUGGCCAGUCAUUACGAUUAGUACCCCUGGCUUACAUUUUGGGAAACAGCUCAUGAGACGGAGGUCCCAGCCUUCCUCAAUUCAAAGCAAGGGUGGGAUUCCUUCCUGGGUCUCCUGGCUCCAAAUCCAGAGUCUCUCUCUUCCACCAGCUCCUGCCUCACCCUGAUGCAUUAUUUAUGGCCCAUUACUUACCUCCUGUAGGCACCCAGAUGCUGCCUGCUAGAGCUGUGACCUCGCUGAUCCCAUGGCGAGGACCAAGGACCUCGCUCUCCUCUCUCCCCUCCCCCUCGAAGCCUCUCUGGGUCUUGGCAGGCCCCUGGGGUGUGGCACAGCCAGUCCCCACUGCUGACUUGUGAGCACUUUCCUCUUUGCCAAGCCAGUCAACACAUCCAGUGAGCUCCCGGCUUCCUGAGAAAAGCAGCGGCAGCUGCACAGUCCAAACUCACCAUCCCCUUAUCACAGCCCUGGCUCGAGUCACCAGUGUGUGUGUGCACGGGAGGAUGGUGUGUGUAUGUGCAUGUGUGUGCAUGUGUGUCAUGAGAGGAGGGCAUGUGUUUAUGUUAUAUAUGGAGCAGGAGAGGGGCAUGGAUUUAAGAGCUCACAGUUGAACACGUUUGAGUUGCCUCUUCUGGGUCUUGUAGCCAAAAGCUAAGUCACCGUGGCAACUGGGAAGUGGUGCUUAGGUCAAGAGCUAAGGCUGGGGGGAUUCCCUGGUGGUGAAGUGGUUAAGAAUCCACCUGCCAAUGCAGGGGACACGGGUUAAAGCCCUGGUCCAGGAAGAUCCCACAUGCCGCGGAGCAACUAAGCCUGUGUGCCACAACUACUGAGCCUGCACUCUACAGACUGUGAGCCACAACUACUGAGCCUGCGUGCCACGACUACUGAAGCCCCCGAGCCUAGAGCCUGUGCUCUGCAAUAAGAGAAGCCACGCGCAAUGAAGAGUAGCCCCUGCUCGCCGUAACUAGAGAAAGCCCAUGUGCAGCAACGAAGACCCAACGCAGCCAAAAAAAUUUUUUUUUAAUUUUUAAUAAAUUUAAAAAAAGAGCUAAGGCUGGGAGCAGGAUCCCCAAGGCCCCUGGAGCCCACAGCCUUAGAGCUGUGAGACAUUGAGCAAGUUGCUUAAUCUCUCUGUCCUUAUUUGCCUCCUUGUUUACUUCCCUGAGUGGAGGAUUAGACGAGAAUUCCUGUGAAGCAACUAGCGCAGGGCCUGAGGGACAGCGAACGCUGAUACACACCUUUUGACCAGGCACCCUAUCCUGCCUUCCUCUAGGCAAGGAAGGACUAGUUUGGAUCACAAACUCUUGGGAGGAAGGGCACCUGGGGACAGGGAAGGAGAAGCAGAAGCUAAAGUCUUGCAGACCCAACUGGUUGGUGUCUAGGCAGCAGCUGGGUCACCUUCAGCUCAGUUUCCAUGUCCGUAAAAUGGUCAAUAGCUGAAGUUAAUAGUUGCUUAACAUCAUGGCUGGCACCAUGGAAUUCUGGAAGAUGAGAAUGAAAACUCCAGGAAAUUACUUCUUGUACGUUUUCCCUUUUCCUCAGAAUUUAAGGCUUUUGGUACAUGUUAGCACAUAAAACCAGAGGGCAGGCAUUUGUUUCUCCUCCUCGAUUUUAAACUCAAAACUCCCAGGUCCUGAGUGAUUAGCUGAAGUUUCUCAGAAUCAUCUGGAGACCCUGUGACCCACACAGCCCCUAAGCCUUGACUCCGGGACCCUGGUUAGGAGGGACCAGAGGCACCAACAAAUCUGUGUCUUUAAUAAUCUUCCUCAAUGAUUCCAAAGCAGGUGGCCCACUGUGAGAAAUUAGAGACCAAUCCACCGGCUGGGGAUUUUUCCAGAUGCCCCUGGAAGGAGUCCUUUCAGAGUCCUGUCUCCUUGUCCUCCAUCCUAGGACCCUGAGAAUGGAACGAGUGGGCUUCCCCAAACCUCACCACCUCCCACUUCCUCCAGUUUAGCAUUGCUGGUAUCUGUAGCUUGAUUAAUUAAUUAAUUAAUUCUGUAGCUUAAUUAAUCACCAUAACUAUUCUUGGACCCAGGACAACUGAUGUUUGUUCUGUGGAUGCCCCUCCCUGGAAGCACAGGGGAGUGAGCAAAGCUGGAUCCCAGCAAAGUUUUCCCCAGACUUGGGAGCCCAACUUGAAGAGCCUGCCCUUGAACUCCUGCCUAUUGAAUUGAAAAGGACACACACUGGGUAGCUGCCCCGUACAGACCUUGGGCCACAGAAUGAGAUGCAGGGAGCAGGCCUGACAAUGCCCUGUGGACUAGAGCAGAACUGCCCCAGCCAGCAUGCAGACCCCUGAGCAAGAAAAGCAAACACUUGUGGUGGUAAGCCCCUGAAUUUGUGGGUGGUUUGUUACACAGCAUUAUUGCAGCCAUAGCUGACUAGUUCACCAGGAUCAAUCUAUUUUUUUCAGAGGCUCUUGAGGCUAACUUUGCCUGCUUUAAUCUUGCUGUAUGAUUCCUUGCCUAUAGUGAAUCAGCAAGUCUGGUUCUAAGGUUCCAAGUCACUUUGGUGACGCUGGUGGUGCUUUGUCCCCUCCUACUCCAGAACUGGCUAUGAACCUCUUCCAUCUCAUUCAUCCUAGGAGCAACCAUAGUAAUCACCUGCAAGCAUUAACUGCUGACCACAGACUGCUAAUCCAUCUGAAAUGUUCUAUAUAUUUGUCACCAUAAUCCUAUGAACUAGUAACUGAGAUUAUCCCCAUUUUAUAGAUGAGAAGAUCAAAGCUUGGGGAAAUUCACUAGCAAUCCUACCGCUGCCCUGUGGAUCUCAGAGCCGAGACCUGUGUUUUGUGACUGGGGUGUCUGCUUCCCACAGGGGACACGGGUUCAACCCCUGGUCUGGGAGGAUCCUACAUGCCACUGAACGACGGGGCCUGUGCGCCACAACUACUGAGCCUGUGCUCUGGAGCCCAUGAGCCACAACUACUGAGCCCACGUGCCACAACUGCUGAAGCCCACACACCUAGAGCCCAUGCUCCACAACAAAAGAAGCCACCACAAUGAGAGGCCUGUGCACUGCAACGAAGGGAAGCCCCUGCCAGCCACAACUACUGAGCCCACGUGCCACAACUGCUGAAGCCCACGCACCUAGAGCCCGUGCUCCACAACAAGAGAAGCCACCACAAUGAGAGGCCUGUGCACCGUAACGAAGGGAAGCCCCCGUUCGCCACAACUAAAGAAAGCCCACGUGCGGCAAUGGAGA